Long non-coding RNA from Hylaeus anthracinus, 3805 nucleotides. RefSeq lists it as uncharacterized. The transcript is spliced from 3 exons. NCBI's taxonomy places the organism in Eukaryota, Metazoa, Arthropoda, Insecta, Hymenoptera, Colletidae. The record is from RefSeq and is a predicted model, not a curated record.
UUUUAGAGUGGGGCUAUGUGUACGGCUGUAAAAUCGUCGAACAACGUCCUGGUGGCCUUUUCCUCUCGCGGGUAAUCCCCGUAGAUUGGCACCGAUGCAAUAAUUCGUCGCGUAUCGGCCUCAUGGUGAAGCACGAAUGGGGGAAGAGUGUUAAACGACCGAUAUUUCGUUUUUUUCUCGAGGAAACGCCAGUCUCGAUUUGUUACACGUCUCACCUGUCGUGUAUCCUAUCUUGCGGCUAUCGUGCAGUCGCUCUGAACGGUCUCCUUGCCCACCGCCGUCUUUAUGCAUCGUUAAAACAGCCAGCCGCGCCGCGGCAGUAGUAAAACUGCAGUAAAUCGACGUAUCGUCGCGACGACGGUCCCCAAACACGGUACGAGCUAAACGAGAAACAGAAAAAUGAGGGGAAUCGUUGGAGCUCGAUAGCCAAGUGCCAAACACAAAAUUAAUGGCGCCUGCGCUAUGGACAUAUUGAAAGACACCGUUAAGUUAUGUGGCUGGGCCAAACACAGUGAUUGCAUUUUUGGGAAGUUUGUAUGCAGAAGAGUUAUUCUAUUUUUAACGUGCACGACGAAUGGGGAUUCCUUACGGAUGCAUCUAAAUUUCAGGACUGAGAUUUAAAAAUAUGGGAUUUGAUUACAAUUGUAUUUUCGUUUGAUGUUUUGUCUCCUGAGUGAUAUCGAGAAAGUCCGUUCGUCUUUGAAGACAUUAUAAGAAAAUUUAUGUGAAAUUAUCUCGCGUAUCUGUAAAAUUAUUAGCUAUUGUCUUCGCCAUGUCGUACUAAUUUCACCGUGUUGCUAUUACAAUCCGCGUUCUUCUAUUCAUUUGAAGCAGGAAAAUCUAAGAAAACCUGAACUUUUACGAAUUCUGUUAUCAACCCUCCUAAAAUAAUAUAUGUGAAUAGAAUUUGAUAAAAUAACAGAUCUAGAUAAAAGAAACAUUGACUCCUUCAUACAUUUUUCAUUUGAUACAAACUACUGUAGCUUGUGAUCUGGUGGAGUCUAUAGCAUAACGCUUCGUUCAUAUGCGUGUCAAAUUUAAUCUUUAUUGGUCAAUACAAUUCUGAGAUAUGAAACACAUAUUUGAAAUUCCAAAUUUCAGAAUAGUACACAGGAUAGGACAAUGAUUUUGUCCACCUUGAAUAUCUCUGUUAUUUAUAGUCCUAUGAAUACACUCUUCAGGACAAAGUUGCACUAUUUUAAGGGAUCCAGGCACCUCCCUUGCAGCUUAGGCGAACGCGUGUUUUUAGUAGGUAGACCUUGGGAAUUGGGAUGCGGACGAUAAGCUAUCGGUGACCGCUCCCUUAGGAUAGCUCCACAUAACCCGGGUUCCCCCAGAGAACACGAGUAUGCGUAAUGCAUUUUCACUCGAGGAAAAAGGAUACUUAUAAUGAUAUGACAUUAUUUUUUGUAGGAUCAUUUUUUCAUGAGAUUUCAAAGUCGUUAAUAUUUUAAUUAAUGGAAUGCCACUUUUUUAGACCUUCAUGAAAUAGCCACUAUUAAGUCGAUUUCAAAAUUAUAUGGUAUUGUACAUAUAUAUGUACAGGUAAAAGAAAAAAUCGAUUCCUCCAGCCCUUCAAAUGAAACCAUCCCCCUGACGAAGGUGCUAGUGCAUAUAAGAUUAAAAAAAAUGGUCGAUUGCUCUUCGAUUGACUCUUCGUAUAAGACCUAUAUUUAAUAAGGAGCCUAAUGUCCCACACAACUUAAUAUAGUUCUUUGUUCGAUUAUGAAUAUUUGUAAAAGCUCUUCCUCCCUUAUUAACGCGAGAAAAUAAAUGAUAUCUUAUUAGCCAUCGAAAAAGAAAGAGUUACCUCCUCCUAGGCAAUUAUAACUAUAUUUACUAACGCGAAAUUAUACUAAAUCCGAAAUGAUACAUUUAAAAAAUUAGUUACGAGACGUUCCAUGAAAAUGUCCGAUUGAAAAGGAUUCUCCAAGUAUCGAGUCGCUAGCAGAAAUUAAUACUUCAAACAGAAUCUUUCGUCCGUUAGAAGAACAUGACGUAACGAAGGAAAAGAUUCCCUCUGCAAGGAGAGCUAGACACCAACGACUUAAUUAAGAUCCACCGUCGCUGAUCCUCCUGCGAAAUUCUCGCCGUCCAUUCUUCCGGAAGACGUGACAGAGACGAGCAAGAAACGGGGAGGCAAACACGGAAUAGCCAUGAACGCAGGAAGGCCGGAAGGUGCUGCGAGGUAGCGUAAACAAUUCCCAGCACAAUUAGGAAACGUUUGUCCGUCUGUGUUUAUCGAAGGAUCCGUAACUAGCUUAGGUAACACCUAUCCAUUUGUUACUCGGCAACGGUGCCCCGAAUCGGUCAUGCGAACAAUUCACGGGGUUACCCUGGAGCUCCUGGUACUUGGCCCUUGGAGCACGUUACGUAAUCACGGACUAGAUAUAGCAUGUACAGAAGAGUCAAUCCAGCUUUCUGUCCGAUUACUCGAGGGCUCUAGAGUCUUCUUUGAUUCGGAAUCAAAUAAGAUUAAUAUUUCUAACGUAAAUCGCAUUGGAUCUGGGCAUUAUAAUCUUGCUGCCUCUCUUACCCGCAUUAAGAUAAUAAGCGACCCUAAAUGUAAAUGCAGCUAUGAAAUCGAAGGCAUCAAUCAUGUGAUUUGGCAAUGCAGGCUCUACGAUAGCUCAAGGAUCAAGCUAAUUAAGAAGCUUCAAAAGAAGAAACAGUGUCUCUCACUUAAUGUUGAACCGCUUGUCGCGAAACCUAAUAUUGCAGCUUGUCUAUGUAUUUUUGAUUUCUUAAAAGAAUGUAAACUGCGGAUAUAAUGUACACGUAAACUGUAUUAUACAUACUACUGUAUAUAUAAACCUUAUCUGAGGUUCUUAAAUAAUAAAAAAAAAAAAAUCCUGUUUGGCUUAGAAUAUAUUCUGGUAGUAAACAAAUGAAUAGUGUAUUCGUACUAUCUUCUUGAUGUUCAUACAUGCAAUUAAGGGGUGACAUCACUGUAACAGACUAAACAAAAAAAGGUGUUUCUUUGUCAAUUUUGGUUGGAUGGAAGAAAUGGUAAUAGAUUAAUAAAAUUCGAGGAAGUGAUUCAGCAUAUAUUUAAGUAUUAAACAAAAAAUUAUAAUCGACAAAUAUUAGAAAAUGGCUCUCGCUCUCGCGAGGCUUAUUGAAUUUGAGGCACUCCAGUUGGCUCCGUUUGAACCUCUUUAGACCUGACCUCUUGUAAACAGAGAACAAAAAUUAUUUUGCUAUGGAUACAUAUUAAGUGAAGGAGAAAUAACACAUUUAUUUUAACUAAAAUUUAUCUACGACAAUGUUUACAAAAUAAAAAGAAAAAUGUACAUUCAAUGGCACAAUUUUCUUCUUAUGUAUUUUGGUUUGCUAAACUCGAAAACUGCAAUGAAAAAUUUUUCUAUAGAUAGGUUUUUUUUAUAUAAAUUUUUGAAUUAUUUUUCGAUUUUUUUUCGAGAUACCUUCACAUUUUAGGCCAUAUAUCUCUAGUUAGAAACGUCCGAUUGGGUCGCGCAAGAUGCCAUAUAAAAAAAGGUAGUCGAUUUUCCAAAAAUUGUUUUUCACAUUGUUUUCCAAUCGGUUCAAUAGUUUAAGUGUCACGGGCCAAAAAAUAUGAGAAAUUUCGAUUUUUUCGGCUAAAAUCGAACACAACAAUUUCUUCCAUCGUCAUGCAAAAAUAGAAACUGUUAAAUUAUGUCCAGUUUUUUUAUUGUUUACGUAUAGAUCGCUCUUUUACGAAGAAAACAAGCUUGUGUUGAGGAAAAUCUAUGGAUAAAUACCGGAGUUGGGAACAAUUGACUAAAGGUACAAAAAUUCCAAUUUUACUCUGUUUUUGUAUUUU